GGUAGCUCAGUUGGAUAGAGCAACGGCUUCCUAAGCUGCAGGUCGGGGGUUCAAAUCCCUCCC
This 63-nucleotide transfer RNA is filed under the name marine eukaryotic metagenome. It matches the Rfam family "tRNA", at positions 6 to 65 of the family's 71-position model. From Rfam's summary of the family: Transfer RNA (tRNA) molecules are approximately 80 nucleotides in length. The record is from RNAcentral.